This 250-nucleotide ribosomal RNA is filed under the name uncultured prokaryote. RNAcentral's name for it is "partial 16S ribosomal RNA". It matches the Rfam family "Bacterial small subunit ribosomal RNA", at positions 524 to 773 of the family's 1533-position model. The record is from RNAcentral.
UACGUAGGGGGCAAGCGUUAUCCGGAUUUACUGGGUGUAAAGGGAGCGCAGACGGAGAUGCAAGUCUGAAGUGAAACCCCACGGCUCAACUGUGGGCUUGCUUUGGAAACUGUAUAUCUAGAGUGCUGGAGAGGUAAGCGGAGUUCCUAGUGUAGCGGUGAAAUGCGUAGAUAUUAGGAGGAACACCGGUGGCGAAGGCGGCUUACUGGACAGUAACUGACGUUGAGGCUCGAAGGCGUGGGGAGCAAAC